Molecule: ribosomal RNA, 253 nt
Filed under: uncultured bacterium
Lineage: Bacteria
Description: partial 16S ribosomal RNA
Rfam family: Bacterial small subunit ribosomal RNA
Source: RNAcentral
UACGGAGGGUGCAAGCGUUAUCCGGAUUCACUGGGUUUAAAGGGUGCGUAGGCGGGCAGAUAAGUCAGUGGUGAAAUACCUGAGCUUAACUUGGGAACUGCCAUUGAUACUAUUUGUCUUGAAUGUCGUGGAGGUUAGCGGAAUAUGUCAUGUAGCGGUGAAAUGCUUAGAGAUGACAUAGAACACCUAUUGCGAAGGCAGCUAACUACGCGAAUAUUGACGCUGAGGCACGAAAACGUGGGGAUCAAACAGG